Molecule: ribosomal RNA, 257 nt
Filed under: Pseudomonas sp.
Lineage: Bacteria; Pseudomonadati; Pseudomonadota; Gammaproteobacteria; Pseudomonadales; Pseudomonadaceae
Description: partial 16S ribosomal RNA
Rfam family: Bacterial small subunit ribosomal RNA
Source: RNAcentral
CCUUCGGGCCUUGCGCUAUCAGAUGAGCCUAGGUCGGAUUAGCUAGUUGGUGAGGUAAUGGCUCACCAAGGCGACGAUCCGUAACUGGUCUGAGAGGAUGAUCAGUCACACUGGAACUGAGACACGGUCCAGACUCCUACGGGAGGCAGCAGUGGGGAAUAUUGGACAAUGGGCGAAAGCCUGAUCCAGCCAUGCCGCGUGUGUGAAGAAGGUCUUCGGAUUGUAAAGCACUUUAGGUUGGGAGGAAGGGCAUUAGC